AUUGAACGCUGGCGGCAUGCUUUACACAUGCAAGUCGAACGGCAGCGCGGGCUUCGGCCUGGCGGCGAGUGGCGAACGGGGGAGUAAUGCAUCGGAACGUGCCCAGCAGUGGGGGAUAGCCCGGCGAAAGCCGGAUUAAUACCGGAUACGACCUGAGGGUGAAAGCGGGGGACCGAAAGACCUCGCGCUAUUGGAGCGGCCGAUGUCGGAAUAGCUAGUUGGUGGGGGAAAGGCUUACCAAGGGGGCGAUCCGGCGCUGGGCUGAGAGGACGACCAGCCACACUGGGACGGGGGCACGGCCCAGACUCCUACGGGAGGCAGCAGUGGGGAAUUUUGGACAAUGGGGGCAACCCUGAUCCAGCAAUGCCGCGUGCGGGAAGAAGGCCUUCGGGUUGUAAACCGCUUUUGUUCGGGAAGAAAUCCUCUGGGCUAAUACCCCGGGGGAAUGACGGUACCGGAAGAAUAAGCACCGGCUAACUACGUG
Molecule: ribosomal RNA, 484 nt
Filed under: uncultured bacterium
Lineage: Bacteria
Description: partial 16S ribosomal RNA
Rfam family: Bacterial small subunit ribosomal RNA
Source: RNAcentral